CCUACGGGAGGCAGCAGUGAGGAAUAUUGGUCAAUGGGCUUACGCCUGAACCAGCCAAGUCGCGUGAGGGAAGACUGCCCUAUGGGUUGUAAACCUCUUUUGUCAGGGAGCAACGCCGGCUACGUGUAGCCGGACUGAGAGUACCUGAAGAAAAAGCAUCGGCUAACUCCGUGCCAGCAGCCGCGGUAAUACGGAGGAUGCGAGCGUUAUCCGGAUUUAUUGGGUUUAAAGGGUGCGUAGGCGGACUGGAAAGUCAGCGGUAAAAUCGAGAGGCUCAACCUCUUUCCGCCGUUGAAACUGGCGGUCUUGAGUGGGCGAGAAGUAUGCGGAAUGCGUGGUGUAGCGGUGAAAUGCAUAGAUAUCACGCAGAACUCCGAUUGCGAAGGCAGCAUACCGGCGCCCGACUGACGCUGAGGCACGAAAGCGUGGGUAUCGAACAGGAUUAGAUACCCGAGUAGUC
This 460-nucleotide ribosomal RNA is filed under the name uncultured bacterium. Its description in RNAcentral is "partial 16S ribosomal RNA". It matches the Rfam family "Bacterial small subunit ribosomal RNA", at positions 338 to 795 of the family's 1533-position model. The record is from RNAcentral.